This 447-nucleotide ribosomal RNA is filed under the name uncultured bacterium. Its description in RNAcentral is "partial 16S ribosomal RNA". It matches the Rfam family "Bacterial small subunit ribosomal RNA", at positions 29 to 523 of the family's 1533-position model. The record is from RNAcentral.
AACGAACGCUGGCGGCAGGCCUAAAACAUGCAAGUCGAACGCCCCGCAAGGGGAGUGGCGCACGGGUGAGUAACGCGUGGGAACGUGCCCUUCACUACGGGACAACGUCGGGAAACUGACGCUAAUACCGUAUAAUGACUCCAGUCCAAAGAUUUAUCGGUGAAGGAGCGGCCCGCGUCUGAUUAGCUAGUUGGUGAGGUAAAGGCUUACCAAGGCUACGAUCAGUAGCAGGUCUGAGAGGAUGAUCUGCCACACUGGGACUGAGACACGGCCCAGACUCCUACGGGAGGCAGCAGUUAGGAAUAUUGGACAAUGGGCGAAAGCCUGAUCCAGCCAUGCCGCGUGUGUGAUGAAGGCCCUAGGGUUGUAAAGCACUUUCGUUGGGGAUGAUAAUGACCGUACCCAAAGAAGAAGCACCGGCUAACUUCGUGCCAGCCGCCGCGGUAA